UACAGGGGAUGCAAGUGUUAUCCAGAAUUAUUGGGCGUAAAAGGUCUGUAGAUGGAACUUUAAGUCUUUUGUUAAACUUGUAGGCUUAACCUAGAAUCGGCAAAAGAAACUGUUUUUCUUGAGUAUGGCCGAGUAAAAGGGAAUUUCCAGUGGAGCGGUGAAAUGUGUUGAGAUUGGAAAGAACACCGAUGGCGAAAGCACUUUUUCAGGCCAUACUGACAUUGUAAGACGAAAGCUAGGGGAGCAAACAGG
Molecule: ribosomal RNA, 252 nt
Filed under: uncultured bacterium
Lineage: Bacteria
Description: partial 16S ribosomal RNA
Rfam family: Bacterial small subunit ribosomal RNA
Source: RNAcentral